Molecule: ribosomal RNA, 613 nt
Filed under: Streptomyces sp.
Lineage: Bacteria; Bacillati; Actinomycetota; Actinomycetes; Kitasatosporales; Streptomycetaceae
Description: bacterial SSU rRNA
Rfam family: Bacterial small subunit ribosomal RNA
Source: RNAcentral
UCAGAUCUCAUCGACGACGGGUAGCCGGCCUGAGAGGGCGACCGGCCACACUGGGACUGAGACACGGCCCAGACUCCUACGGGAGGCAGCAGUGGGGAAUAUUGCACAAUGGGCGAAAGCCUGAUGCAGCGACGCCGCGUGAGGGAUGACGGCCUUCGGGUUGUAAACCUCUUUCAGCAGGGAAGAAGCGAAAGUGACGGUACCUGCAGAAGAAGCGCCGGCUAACUACGUGCCAGCAGCCGCGGUAAUACGUAGGGCGCAAGCGUUGUCCGGAAUUAUUGGGCGUAAAGAGCUCGUAGGCGGCUUGUCACGUCGGUUGUGAAAGCCCGGGGCUUAACCCCGGGUCUGCAGUCGAUACGGGCAGGCUAGAGUUCGGUAGGGGAGAUCGGAAUUCCUGGUGUAGCGGUGAAAUGCGCAGAUAUCAGGAGGAACACCGGUGGCGAAGGCGGAUCUCUGGGCCGAUACUGACGCUGAGGAGCGAAAGCGUGGGGAGCGAACAGGAUUAGAUACCCUGGUAGUCCACGCCGUAAACGGUGGGCACUAGGUGUGGGCAACAUUCCACGUUGUCCGUGCCGCAGCUAACGCAUUAAGUGCCCCGCCUGGGGAGUACGGA